CCGGCCCACCCCGCGCGCAGCGCUCCUGGCGGUUGCAGCCGUUGGGGCAGUUCAGUAACAGCCACGGCUGCGCCUCAGGGCGCGGCCCUCCUGACCACCCUGAGAGCUACUUCUCCACGCCAUCUGCCUGCCGGCACUUGGCCCGACCAUCUGGACGCGUGGAGCCACGCUGAGCCUGUAGCCCUCAGCCAGAGACAGCUCUUAACGACUUGCAGCCUGUGGCCUGAACAUCCUGUCCAGACUAUAGGCAACACCCGCCAAGAGCUUUCCAUCACCUUCUUCUAGGACAUGCCCUGUACCCUGGAUCCCAAAUCAUCCUCUUUUAGAUUCUUCCUUCUUUUGGGAGAACACUUUCUCCAGUAACUUCCUGAGAAAGAGUGACUAAGAGGAAACAACUUGAUGCAGAAAACCACCCUUCUCCAUGUGACUUAGACAACCCUGUGAUGGUCCCCUUCAUUACCUGUGGUGAUGCAAGGAGAAAUCACAGCAUGAAGUAACCGUAUCAGUGUGCAAAAACAGAAAGAAGCCAAAUACUGGCAAAGAAACCAGUAAAUAAUUCAAAAUAGGAAAUGGCAAGAUGGAACUCUAACCCAAAGUAGUGGGAUUCGGAAUUCUCCACCAUAGUCUUCUGAAAAGGAUUUUCGUAGUUACCAAUGAAUCUCAAAAGAUAGGUGUGACCUGAAAAUGAAAACAUGAAGUCAAACAACAACAACAACAACAACAGUGUAGGGAGGCAUCUGAUACACAUUCUUGGCAGUAAGAAUGAUUGAUAAGAAUUACACAAAGAAAGGUUCACAGUCUUUCCUCUGAGGAAGUGGUAGUGGUGAUGACUUCUUCAUUAUAAAUUCAGGAAAGUGGUUGCCAUUCUUCAGUUAAGGAACAAAAAAAAUAAACCCACAAAGGGUUAUCUGGAAAAGAUGUACGUGAAAUCUAUGCCGAUGUGAGAAAUGACAAAAACAAGGACAGAAGCCGGGAAGGAAUCAGUGUUCUUCCGUUCUUUAUUUGAAUAUAGAAAAUUCUAGAAGCAAUUACAGAGAGCGGACUAUGAAACUCCACGUUUUCAGCAAUAUGAAUCAAGAAAUCAGUUUCUUUAAAACUAAAACACAGCAAUUGCAGCUGCCUGGCAUCCUUCAAGGAAAACAAGAGGUGAAAACAUAAGCAAUCUACAAUUAUUGCUUCAGGGGGAAAAUUUGCAUCAGUGAUGUAUUACUAUACAUUCAAUAUGGAGUUAUGAUGGAGUUCAAAAGAGAAGAUUGGAGGAAGGGUUUGGGAUAUCAGCCCCCUCCUGUUUUCUUUGCUUAUCUGACCUACUAUGUACCUUCUACCAGUUGUCAGAGGCAGAGGCUAAGUGGCCAAAAAACAAGAAGAGAUUUCCAUUCUCACUCAGCCUACUGUAUUUUACUGCUGGUGAAUUUACUUUGACACUCUCUGUGCUCGUCUUGGUGUGGGAGCUGAGAAAAAAUCUCCACUCACCCCCUUGGAAAAGAAGUCAACCUCCUCAUCCCUGGAACCUGUGAAUAUGUUACUGCAAGUGUCAAAAGAGCCUUUUCAGCUGACAAGGUUGAGACUGUCUUGGGAAAUGUGCCUACCAUUUAGUGGCUGCAAGAGUCCGAGCCCAUGUGCGUGGAACAGCGUGAGGCAGUACCUACUUGAAGUAAAGAAGGCUGAAGCUGGCUGGAUCAGUGCCUGGCUCUAGAGCAACUGCUCGGUUUGAAGGAAAUACAUAUUGCCCCUCAGGGAGCAGACAGUCAGUGGGAAGGUGGAAGCAGAAUGGAGCUAACUAGAGUUCAAAACCUGUACAGAGCCCAUUGGUUUCCAGGAGACUGGGGCCUAGAACAGAAGCCGGGGAAUGAAGCCUUCAUGCUUGACAAGAACAGGAUUCAUGAUGAGGGCCAUGGGAGAAUUCGAGAAGACUCAAGAGGAUUCUCCUGAGCCUGAGGCACAUGUGGUGGUCGGAGACAACAAUCAGACACCGGGAGAAGAGUCCUCUGACUCUGAGUAUUUCUCCCGCGUGUCGUCUCCAGGACAGCUUCGUGCUGCUGCUGAGGACUGUAAGGGAGAUCACAAAGGUUGGACAGGAUGAACAGCUGGGGUGGCUCAGCCCAAUCCCUACUUAUUUCACUUUCCAUUCAAAAACAGGAAAGGGCUUCAGGGCAGAGGAACUAAGACUGAAGCCUCUGCACAGGGACAAAUUGGGGUGUGCUUUCAAGGAUAGAACAGUUCCCCAUGUGAACACUGGGAGAGCUGUGAGUGAGGUAGUGGGCUGUGCUGAUAACAGGGUGGGAAUUCAGUUACCACCUCUUCCCUUAGGUCAGCACAAUCUCACACGCACGCACGCACACCAGCACACACAUACACCCUAUAUUCCUCCAUACCAGGUACAGCCGCAUUAUUCCUUUUCACUUUCUCAUAUGCACAAGCCUUCAUUCCAGAUGCGUCCUUCCCAUUCUCUACGAGCGUUACAGAUACACACUUGCGUCUUCCCUCCUCACGCCAUCAUUCUCAGACUCUGCUGUCUACAGACUAACCCAUGAAUAAUGUACACCCUUUCACACAGGUAGCUUGUUUUAGCUCUCUCAGAGCCAGCGUCUGCGCUCAAAAACUCCUAAUGCCCUGAUGGGAAUGCACUUUCAUGUACAGUCUUUCUUUUCCAUGUACCACCUCACCCAUAAAACCUUCAGCUCAAAGCCUUCAGCCCCUCAGGGAGCUGCGCUUCUGGGAAGCUCAAGCACACUUCCUCCAACACGCUCCGUCUUUAACUGUUUCACAAUAAGAACAUGAACCACCCCUGUUCACGUGUAUUGUCUCACCACACACACAUGUACACUGUCAUUCCCCACCCCCUUACCUAUGUGAGAAACACUCACCAGGUAUGUCCCAGAACAUACAUAGACCUCAACACCCUCAUUCCCACAGAAUCACACCACAAACAUAGCUCAGGUAAAAUAUACCACACACGGCAUUCAUUGACUUCACAUACAUAUGUACCUGGGGGCCAUGUACCCACAUCGGAAUAUUCUCAAGACCAUCACAACUCCUACAGACUUCACGCACUUAUUCUAGUUUACUUGUUUGAAACUUCUUUUUCUCAUGUUGGGGCCCUUGAGAUGACUCCACCCCAGGUCUGGGAGGAGAGGGAAGAUUCCUCCUCCUCCACCUCUUCCUCCUCUCCCUCCUCCUCUUCCUCCUCUCCAGUCCCUGUGAGUCAGCAGGGUGAGUCCUCUCUGUUCCCACAACACGCGGGCACAGCAACCAUCAGAGAAAUUUAUUACAGGCGUGUCUUUCUGAAAAGAGAUGUGACUGUCUGGUGGGGUGGGGUGGAAGUGUUGGAGCCCGCCUCUAAAAAGACCAGAAUGGUGCCAUGUGUUUUUCUCAAGAGGCCCAAAAAAUAUCUGGGGCCUUUUUUUUUUUGGUAGUUAAUUAUUUUUUAUUGAAGGGUAGUUGACAUACAGUAUUACAUUAGUUUCAGGUGUACAACACAAUGAUUCAACAUUUAUAUACAUGAUAAUUCUAGCUACCAGCUAUCACCAUACAAAGUUGUUACAAUAUUUUCACUAUAUAUCUGGGGCCUUUUUAACACCAAAAAGCCAGACUGCGGUUUUUCUGAGAAGACCCUCUUAUGUGUCUGCACCAAAACGCUUCACUGACAAGGAGUUCAGCUCGGAUAACAACGCCCCGCAGGGGAGGGAGCCGACUGCCAGUGCAGGGGAGCCUCCAGCCCAGGAGGGCUCCAGGGCCAAGACACCCCAGGGGCUGGGGACCCUGGACAGCGGCUUCAGGUGUCUGGGCUGCUGCCUGGUUUUCCGCAGCUUGGAGGUCCUGCAGGCGCACGUGGAGAAUGCGGCCCGUGAGCACUUCAGCUGCCACGUUUUCAACCGUGCCUUUGCUCAGAUGCUCAGCAAGCACAAGAAGAGAGCCCGAGAGCUGGGAGGAGAAAAUCAGGAGAACGUUUCCCUGCCAGACCAAAAGCGUUCUCGCACUAAGACAUCCUCCUGCAAGUAAACAAACGUUUCAGGCCCCAGAAAAGUGAAAGUGAAGCAGGCCAGCCUCUACCGAGCCACUACUACUGGCCCUUUCACCGCCUCUUUUUUGAAGGACUUGGCUGUUUUAGCUGUUACUUUAAUUGAUUACACAUCCUUAUUAUCCCUUCAAUAAAUCAUUGUUUUGCAUCGAUUAGCCAGACAUUUACUGUUGUUUGUAAUUUAAUGUAUCUUAACGGAUGCAAAUUAGCUUUAACAUGAUAAUUUCUCUCUUUUUAAUCAUUGAAAUGGUGUAGGGUAGAAAGGAGUAGCACACUAUAGUCCUCUUGAGUUUGUACUGAAACAAGGGGUAUAUACUUACACUUGGUGUGUACACUUUGAUCUUGAUUAGUUAGGAAGCUGUGUUGAAAAGGUUUACAUAUGUAUACAAAAUAAUUGGACUUCACUAGAGUAGACCUUUUUUGACAUUUUUGAAACCAGUGGGAAAAUGAAAGUGCAGAGAGAUGUACAAACAAUAAGAAGGAAAAUGAAAUUUUAGACUUGAAUAUUAAAACAGAUUAGAUUUUUAAAAAUCAUACAUUGGGCCAAACAGGAGCACUGUGAUUGCAAAGGAAACAUACACUGAAUCUGAAGGUAAGGAGGGAGAAGUUCAGUCGGAAGAAGAGAAAAUCAUAAAAAGGAAUGUACAGAGUAGCUCCAAGGCCUGUGGGGGACCAAAAGUUCUGAAAUUCAUGCCAAGCCACAGGUGUCG
This is a long non-coding RNA of Manis pentadactyla (Chinese pangolin), 4731 nucleotides long. RefSeq lists it as uncharacterized. The record is from RefSeq and is a predicted model, not a curated record. NCBI's taxonomy places the organism in Eukaryota, Metazoa, Chordata, Mammalia, Pholidota, Manidae. The transcript is spliced from 7 exons.